GAGUGGCUCCAAAAUAAGAAUAUCCCUCCAAUAGCAAGGAUCCCUAGGCUCCAAAAAACAUCCGAACCCGUACGCUCGGGAGCACAGCGCGUCCAUUGCUCUCCCAGGUCAUCCGGUUGCAAGUAUUCAGGGCACAAAGACUUUAGAGCUUAAGGAUUGCAUCGGGGCCAUUGACGGCACACAUGUUCGUGCCUCUGUUCCUAAGGAAAUGGAGGCUGCAUUCCGUGGUAGAAAGAGUCACCCUACUCAAAAUGUAAUGGCAGCAGUAGAUUUUGAUCUAAGGUUCACUUUUGUAAUGGCCGGAUGGGAGGGUACAACCCAUGAUGCCCUCAUUUUAAGAGAUGCUUUAGAAUGAGAAAAUGGUCUUCGUGUCCCUGAAGGCAAAUUCUACCUAGUUGAUGCGGGAUAUGGAGCCAAACCAGGUUUUUUACCCCCUUUUUGUGGUGUGAGGUACCACUUGAAUGAGUGGGGGCAAUAAUCCAGUUCAAAAUGAGAAGGAAUUGUUCAACCAUAGGCACUCAUCCCUCAGAGUUACAGUAGAGCGUGCCUUUGGAUCUUUGAAGAGGCGAUUCAAAAUUUUAGAUGAUGCUAUACCAUUUUUCCCCUUCCCAACACAAGUAGAGAUUGUUGUUGCUUCAUGCAUUAUACAUAAUUGGGUCAUAGAAGAUGGGGGUGAUGAGUUCAUUGUACCUGAGGCCGAAGAUGAGCUACCUAGUAUUAAUCAUCAAAGAUCAUCACAUGGACAAGCAAUGGAACAUGCCUUUAUGGUUAACUUUAGACAACAAAUUGCUAAUGCCAUGUGGGAAGAUCGUCAGCAAUACCAAAAUACUACAUGAAUGCUAUGUUAUCUGCUAUCACUAUGUAUCUUUGCUUUAUAUGAAGCUUUGAGCUUAUGAUUUGUAUGAAACAAUGUAUCUUUGAUUUAUGUGGAACUAUGUACCUUUCAUUUGUAUGAAACAAUGUAUCUUAGAUUUA
This is a long non-coding RNA of Zea mays, 975 nucleotides long. RefSeq lists it as uncharacterized. The transcript has 4 exons. Lineage: Eukaryota; Viridiplantae; Streptophyta; Magnoliopsida; Poales; Poaceae. The record is from RefSeq and is a predicted model, not a curated record.